UGUCAGUCAUAUUUGCCUCAUCUGCAUCAUCAUCUCCUUCAUCAUGAAGGCUAUCUUCCUCUGGCCUCGUUUGAUUAUGCUCUUCUAUAGUGACAUUGACUGCAUAAUUCACCUGGGAUCGACCCUCAACUUCCUCCAGUUGUUUUUCAUUGUCACCAUUGAGAUUUUUCUGUAUUUCAACUAACUGCAUUGGUGAGUUCUCACUCUCUAUAACCCUGUCGUCUGAAGCUGGUUCAUUUACAAUAUUCUCCUUCCUUGCUUCAGCGGCUUCAGCAGACGGCUGAAGUUCUGUAAAGCCAUCAUCACUUCCAAUCUCAGGCUUCAGCAGACGGCUGAAAUCCUCACAUGUUUCAUCCUCAGAUGUUAGCUCAUCGAAGACAGAGUUAUCUUCGUGAUCAACAUUUGAAAAAAAUCCUGGUUUUUCAGUAUGUAGCUUUUGUUGGUUGCUAGCUGAAGCAAUAUUAUGUGGGAAUUGAGCUGACUCACCAUUUGCUUGACUUUCUUCGCAGCUGAUAAUCUCAGUGUCUCUGGCUUCAGCUUCCUCCAUCAUUUCAUCUUUCUCCUUUACUUCAGCAGAUUCAGUGGUAGGCGAGCCAACAAGGCAUUUCCUUUGGCCUUUUUCGGACAUCGAAGCCACUGUACCUCUGUGCUCGUCUAAAUCAAUGGCCUCAAGAGUAUCAUUCCCUUCGGUUUCUUCAUUGGCUCCAAUGUUCAGUAAGCUAUCAUGAUGAUCGCAUUUGUUUUCUUCUUCUGCCAACAUCAGAAUUUGAGCAUUGCCUUUGCCCUGAUCUCCAUGACUUACCUCAAGUUUUUCAUUUCUACCAUUCACUCCCAAAUUUUCAGUGCACGGUGAACCAUGAACUAGAGUCAUCU
This 873-nucleotide long non-coding RNA is filed under the name Coffea arabica (coffee). RNAcentral describes it as "long non-coding RNA (CARA_LNC000398)". The record is from RNAcentral. Lineage: Eukaryota; Viridiplantae; Streptophyta; Magnoliopsida; Gentianales; Rubiaceae.